UGUUUGUGGGAUGAAGGCAGGAGCC
Molecule: microRNA, 25 nt
Filed under: Equus caballus (horse)
Lineage: Eukaryota; Metazoa; Chordata; Mammalia; Perissodactyla; Equidae
Description: eca-miR-9005
Source: miRBase by way of RNAcentral